GGAUGGUUGAAGAUGAAACAUAAUGGUUGCCAAACAGUGGCAGCAAUACGGCAACUCUCCCAAAGGGGGCAUGAUACAUUUCACAGGGCAGGGUGGAAGCCUGGAGUGCCUGCAUGCCUGUGUGUGUGUGUGUGUGUGUGUGUGUGUGUGUGUGUUUGUGUGUUUGUGUGUGUGUGUGUGUGUGUGUGUGUGUGUGCUUCCUCACAUGUGGCGGAGCCCAGAGAGCCUCAGAGUGGGUCUGUCAUGCGGUCCCGCGGUGCUGAUCGGGAAGGACCCAAAAGCCACACCAAAACCAACACGAUAAGACCAGAGAGAGACGCCACAGAUGAGUAUGAGUAGAAAGGCAGCAGCUCAGUUGGACUGGCAAGGUGAUGAAACAAGGAAUUGCCCAAUAGACGCUGAAGAAUUGUUGAGUGCCCAUCUGCAAGCGAUCAGCCGGAGUCGUGAGCAGGCCCUUGGGUUCAUCAGUUUUCACCUGAGCCAGGAGUGAAAUGAAACCCAUAGGUGGCCCAGUGCCAACACAAACACAUGCAAUCCUUGACUGUUUUGGAACAAAGAAGAAGAAAUCAGAAGAGAGAAACUGCAGAUGUGUCGGUGCCAAGUAUUCCUUGACAUAUCCGACUUCCUAUGAACUCGUAUCCCUGAGCAACACUGUCAGCUGGAGUAGCCUCCAAUAGAAACACAGCACAGCUAACACUCUAAUCAGUCUCACCUAAUUACGCAAUGUCCUUUCAUUCCUUAGCACUAAAGGAUGUGUAAAGUGUUGAUAGGUAUUGUUCUGUUCCAAUGACAGUGGAGCAGACUUGUCUCAAUCUGCAGCCCAUGGCUUCCAUUUCUCUGUGCAGGGCAGCGAGGGGGGAAAAAUCUCACCAAGGGUGUUUUUUUUUAAUCAUUUUUUUCAUUGUUUUUUUUCCAUCUCUCUUAUUUCACAUAAAAAUACAUCUUGCGGUGUGUGUUUGAUCUGGUUCAGCUGACAGUGAGAGAGACAUAUCAAAUGGUCUCAUCUAAGAGGUUUGGUCUCAUGCAUUUCGUGUGAAUGUUAAGCGUGAUGAUUUGGGGUGACUUGCCACAGACGCUGCUGGGUGUUCAUUACAUCCACUGCACAGCACUCUGUCAUCCUUAUCUGGUUUAGCAAUGCUAACUAAAACCACACUGUUCACAGUGUACUCUAAAACACGUCUGCCAGCUUUCAUGCCAUAGUUACGUGUAUCUAAAACUACAUUAUUCACAGUGUACUCUAAAACAUGUCAUUCCAGCAUUCAUGCUAUGAUUAUGUGUCUCUGAUUACUGGUACCACCGAACUCCUUGUGACUCUUCUGUUCUGGCAUGCUGUUGCUGUUCAGCUGUAGUGACUGUUGAACAAACAUGGCAAAAUGUACUACAUUUAGAGAAGGCCAUGCUGAACAUGAAUUUAGCGGAGUCAGAGAAAUGGAAUGUGUAGACAGCUAGGGAGCCCCUGUAAAGCCAUGCAUGGGGUUGAAAAAAUGUUGCAACCUUUUUGCUGUAACCUUCAUUAAUGUUAACAUUUACUUCUGGCCUCGUCUCAGCAGCUAAAGGGUUAUCCACUAAGCCGUAAGUGUGUAUCCUCCGAACCCUAACCCGAGCCGAUUGGAAAUGAAAGAGUGUUAUUUAACGCAUUGUGUUUAAAAUGCGCAUACUGCAGUAGGUCCACUGACACCAAAGCUGCGAAGAGAAACAGAUCCAAUGUGACACUCGCUUCCCUUUAGCUCCACGUUCUGAAAAUCGCAUCAAGACAUAUAAGGCCUAACCUCAAUACAUCAGCCCAUAUAUUUAAUCCAUUUAAUCUGAAACAGGCUCUAUUUUUUGGCAGAUUUAGUUUGGGUCUCACGGAUUACAGGCAAAUUUAGCAGCGGCUCUUGUUUUGCCCGUCUCACCACCUCAUAUAUAGCGUCAGUGUGAAAGCAGCACAGCUCUGGGAUCUGCUUGCAUGGGUAAUGGUUGGGGUGAGCUUCAUGCAUUAUAGAUUACAGGCCAGGGAUUCCCAUGGAGAGAUGAUUACUUAAUUAUCCAUCGUUAGCACAGAGCCAAAUACCACUGGUGCGGCAGGACCUCCCCCUCCAUAAAUUUACACACACACACACACACACACACACCCACACACACACACACACACACACACACACACACACACACACACACACACACACCCACACAGUUAGUUAGUGGGUGGAUACUUGAAACACACACACACAUAGUUAGUGGGUGGAUACUCAUUUACUUACACACACACACACACAAAGACACAGGCACGCAUACUUAGUUAGUGGGUGGAUACACACACACACACACACAUAGUAAGUGGGUGGAUACAUACACCCCCCCCCCCCCACACACACACACACACACACUGACAUGUGCUCAGUGGGUGAAUACACACGCACACACACACACUGUCAAUUACAAGCAGUGCUCAUUAGGCAUUAAAACAAGCAAGUACUGCGAGGCAACUCUGACCCAUUUAUUAGUUUAAGCGAAUUCGUGAAAACGUGCCUCUUGGCCUCAGAGACUCCAGGCUGACGUAAUGUGAUUCUUCUGAACCCUGCUGAUUUCUGUUGAAUUUAAUGAAAAACACAUCCAAAUCAGUCUGCAGGUCCCUCGUUUGGCAUUCUGUUUCUUCCCAGAAAACUCCAUUUAUUCAUUCAUUUUUCAGCACAGUGGUGGAACAGGGGGCCUCAUUUGCAAAUGUUCUUCUGCAGCUCAGUGGUGUGGAUCUGUGGAAGCCGUCGUGUUAGUUCUCCUCCUUCACAAGGUUGGCAACAUUUGACCUGAAAUAAGGUGUCAGAAGUGCACAACAACAUAGGAAGAAAAACAACAGGAACGUCACAUGCCCACACACGCCUACACAUACACAGAUGCACACAGUAUAUACUCAUAUGACCCCCCACCCCAUCCCCCAACACACACAUGCACAGACAAACAGACAAUCCAGUUCCACCAUGAGGGCACAUGGGGUUGUUCCAUCAUCAUUGCGCUCCGGGAGUUUGGGGUGUGUGUGUGCGCCAGGUCUCAGGAUGUGUGGCCAUAUCAAUCCAGAGCGCCCUCAUCUGCUCCGUCUGCUGGAACACAUUACAGUGGGUUUUAUGAGCUGCCAACACACACAGUAGGUAGGACCGUCUCUGAAGCUUUAUUAAUUACUGGCAGCAGAUGAAAGCUCAAAUCAAAGAUGACUUGGUAAACGCUUCCACAUGCGAGACGCUCGGAGUUAGACCCUCCAUCAGCGCAGGGCAGUCGCUAUCACUCGACGCUCAGAGGAUUGGCCAGCUCCGACGAUGGCUGCACCUACCACCUCAUUUACAUAUCUACAGCUCUGUAUUUUAGGAUUAUACAAGUAAA
Long non-coding RNA from Clupea harengus (Atlantic herring), 3354 nucleotides. The record is from Ensembl. Lineage: Eukaryota; Metazoa; Chordata; Actinopteri; Clupeiformes; Clupeidae.